AGAGUUUGAUCAUGGCUCAGGAUGAACGCUGGCGGCAUGCGUAAUACAUGCAAGUCGAACGCGAGUAGCAAUACUCGAGUGGCGAACGGGUGAGUAAUACAUAGAUAACUUGCCCUCAAGACGAGGAUAACAGUUGGAAACGAUUGCUAAUACUGGAUAGGAUAAUGAGUUGCAUGACUUAUUAUUUAAAGGUGCUUCAAAGCAUCGCUUGGGGAGAGGUCUAUGUCGCAUUAGCUAGUUGGUGAGGUAACGGCCCACCAAGGCGACGAUGCGUAGCUGUGCUGAGAGGCAAAACAGCCACACUGGGACUUAGACACGGCCCAGACUCCUACGGGAGGCAGCAGUAGGGAAUUUUCGGCAAUGGGGGGAACCCUGACCGAGCAAUGCCGCGUGAAUGAUGAAGAUCUUCGGAUUGUAAAGUUCUGUUAUCAGGAAAGAAUAGCAUAACUAGGAAAUGAGUUAUGUAUGACGGUACCUGAUGAGUAAGCCCCGGCUAACUAUGUGCCAGCAGCCGCGGUAAUACAUAGGGGGCAAGCGUUAUCCGGAAUUAUUGGGCGUAAAGAGUGCGUAGGCGGUUUAUUAAGUCUGGUGUGAAAUCCCACAGCUUAACUGUGGAGGGUCAUUGGAAACUGGUAAACUUGAGUACGGUAGAGGUAAGUGGAAUUCCAAGUGGAGCGGUGGAAUGCGUAGAUAUUUGGAGGAACACCAGUGGCGAAGGCGGCUUACUGGGCCGUUACUGACGCUGAGGCACGAAAGCGUGGGGAGCAAACAGGAUUAGAUACCCUGGUAGUCCACGCCGUAAACGUUGAGCACUAAGUGUCGGAUGUAUUUUCGGCGCUGCAGUUAACACAAUAAGUGCUCCGCCUGGGGAGUACGGUCGCAAGACUGAAACUCAAAUGAAUUGACGG
Molecule: ribosomal RNA, 908 nt
Filed under: uncultured bacterium
Lineage: Bacteria
Description: bacterial SSU rRNA
Rfam family: Bacterial small subunit ribosomal RNA
Source: RNAcentral